Molecule: transfer RNA, 73 nt
Filed under: Camelus bactrianus (Bactrian camel)
Lineage: Eukaryota; Metazoa; Chordata; Mammalia; Artiodactyla; Camelidae
Also listed under: 3 other names
Rfam family: tRNA
About the family: Transfer RNA (tRNA) molecules are approximately 80 nucleotides in length. Their secondary structure includes four short double-helical elements and three loops (D, anti-codon, and T loops). Further hydrogen bonds mediate the characteristic L-shaped molecular structure. tRNAs have two regions of fundamental functional importance: the anti-codon, which is responsible for specific mRNA codon recognition, and the 3' end, to which the tRNAs corresponding amino acid is attached (by aminoacyl-tRNA synthetases). tRNAs cope with the degeneracy of the genetic code in two manners: having more than one tRNA (with a specific anti-codon) for a particular amino acid; and 'wobble' base-pairing, i.e. permitting non-standard base-pairing at the 3rd anti-codon position.
Source: Rfam by way of RNAcentral
GACAAUAUAGCUCAAGUGGUAGAGUGUGUGCUUAGCAUGCACGAGGUCCUGGGUUCAAUCCCCAGUACUUCCA